This is a long non-coding RNA of Sinocyclocheilus grahami, 509 nucleotides long. RefSeq lists it as uncharacterized. The record is from RefSeq and is a predicted model, not a curated record. The transcript is spliced from 2 exons. Lineage: Eukaryota; Metazoa; Chordata; Actinopteri; Cypriniformes; Cyprinidae.
GUCUACCUUGAUAGGCCUGUACAAAAGACAGUUUUACUGCUUGAAGCAAAAUAAAGGUUAUGGUUGAAAUUAAGGUGGAAAGGUUUAAAUUGUGAGGUGAAAUGACAAAAUAGUCAUUUGGUGGGAGUAUAACUGCCAUACAUGUUGUUUCUGUUAUUUAACAUGUUUUGUUAAAUUUGUUUAAUCUAUUCAUGAAUAUUGAGCGUUUGUAACUAGGAACUAAAGUACAAUUGCGUUACACACGGACACUUUUUUAUGGUGCAACAGAGAAAAAGGACAUACAUUUUGGUGAAAAGGUAUUCUCCGUGUGUGAAUUUAAGAGUUACUCGUGUUUUGAGCAAAGAAGUAAAGAAGAUGUUUUCAUUUUUUGUUUGAAUCGGGUAUUUUCAAGUGAACUCAUUCUCUCUUGGUUAUAUGCAGCCAGCGAGUUUGACGGUGGAAUUCAUUGAUGAUGAGUGAGAUGGCGAAGAUAAGGAUGACAAGCGAAAUAAAUCCAUCGGUAACCAGAA